This is a long non-coding RNA of Camelina sativa (false flax), 820 nucleotides long. RefSeq lists it as uncharacterized. The record is from RefSeq and is a predicted model, not a curated record. Lineage: Eukaryota; Viridiplantae; Streptophyta; Magnoliopsida; Brassicales; Brassicaceae.
UUACCUUUUCAUCUUCUCUCCUCUGCUCGACGAGAAGCACAACUCCACUAACAGAUCCACGUUCAUGGUGGUUACAAAAAUUCUCAUCUUCUAUAUAAAUUUUCUUCAACUUUCUCUAAACACAAUAAAACGCACCUCAAAACCUCUUCUAUUUUGUUACUAAAAAAAAACCUCUUCUAUUUUCAAUUACCAAUGCACCACCAGAUCAAACACGAAAACCUCUUUCAAUUUCAGAAACCUAAAUCCUGUUGAAAACAACAAUUAUUUUAGGAGAUUGAAGAUGCCUCUCGAUUUUACUUUUCUCUUAAAUCUAAAUUCUUUAAAAAAACAAUGGAAGAUCAGAGUUUUAAUAGCCAGGACAUGAAAAUUUUAUCCAAAAGACAAACUUGGAGUUAUUUUGGGCAUUGAAGCAAUUCUCGUGGAUGCAAAGGGGGAUCGAAUUCAAGCAUCAGUGAAAAACACAUUAGUUAGAAAAUUCAAAAAGAAAUUGGUGGAAGAAAGGUUUUGUGAUAUCAUGAAUUUUGAAGUUCGUGAUAACCUUGGUGACUACAAAGGAACUGCACAUCCUUACAAGAUUAAUUUCAUGUUUACUACAUGGGUGAAGCCGUGUGAUCCGAUCCCAAGUAUAUCUCGCUUCACCUGUUAUUCUUUCUCAGAGAUUUCAACUCAAGCCAAUGUGGAUGAUGUAUUCUUCGCUAUGUUUCCUCCUGCUAUUCUACAUGUCACUUUACUCUAAAAUAGAUUACCAAAUCCUUUAUCGUUUUAAAGUGGAUCAAUCUUUCUCAGUAAAGUUUAUUUAAAAGGAAAUUUUUUGACAAUA